UCCCUCAACUCCCCCUCAGCCCCCAGGCCCGUCGCGAGGGCUCGCCAGGCCUCAGCCCCCCGAUUGGUGGCGGCCGCGCCCAUCCCCCACCGGCGGGCACGGGAACAAGGUGAAUGACUCGACAAAUCUCAGUUUGGGGCCUGGACGCCGGCCGAGGCCUAAAUUCUGCCUCAGACGUGCUGGUGGUCCCUGGUCCUCAGGACGAGCAGGAAUUUCUCAAAACAAAUGAGAGAAAAAUAAGUUUCCAUCCAUGAAAAGACUAUGGUGUGUCCACAUUGAAUUUUGAAAAGAAAGAUCUGUCCUUUGCAGGCGCUUCAGAAGAAAUUGCUUCAGAGCUGGCACCAAUGGAAGUGACAAGCCCAGCAACAUGGUCAGACUGGCAGGCAGACGAAACGGGCAUGAAGACUAUUUUUGCAGAAGAAGGAACUUGGAGGUUGGAUUCCAAGCCUGCUACCUAUGUGCCCCCAGACACAGAACUCAACAUACACACAGGACAGACCAUCCGGACGGAGCCUGUUGAGCAGAUUCCAGUAUGGCCAUUCCUGUAAUUAAACCUACUACAAACUAGCCACAGGCUGUACCUUACAAAAGUUAAAGAUAAACCCGCCCCUACUCUUCUUUUACCUUGCAGAAGUCCCCCAUACCAAGAAGGUUUCCAUGGAAACAAGAAACACACAUAAACCAACCUUAGCCUGGCGGAUGGAGGGGGCUCGCUCUUCCACUAGCGAUUAGAGACUGCCACUCCUUCUGUGGGGUGGACUUUUUUCUUCUAUUUACUCUCUGCUAAAUAAACUGACUUGUAGUGCAAACUCUAAUGUCAGCUCACAUUAGAAUUCUUUCCUGUGUGAAGCCAAAGACACUCUUUUCCUAUAACAUUAUGGUAUUUUCUCCCGUCAUUGUGCUAUUGGAAAUAUUUAAUUAUAAGAUACAAAGUAAAACAGAAGCAUAUAAUUAGUUUUGUAGUAGGCCUGAUCAUUUUAGAAGUAACUUCAACUUUUUUUUUUCCCCUUAAAAUCUUGACCUUUAGGGAAAAGUAACCUUCACAGAAGCUCAUUACAAACAGGAGCUGUCACCAAUACUCCAAGUGGUGAAUCUCACGAAUUUCAGUUUCUUCUCAAAAAUGAAGGCUUUGCAAAGAGUCAGUUCCCUUCAGACCUAAGAUGAGAUGUUUUUAUGAUUUAAAACAUGAGGUCAAGUUGAAUAAGGCAGGAGUUGAUGGAUGAGGAAUUUCAUUAUUACUGCAGACAAAGAACUGAACCCACAGGAUGCAAGAGGAACCCUGCUUUCAAUAAAAUAUACUAGCUUUUAUUUUUAAUGAUAAAAUACAGUGUAUAGAUACAAACACUAUGUACACCACAGCCUGCCACUCAUUCAUUCAUUCAUUCAUUCAUUCAUUCAUUCAUGACUGGUUGCUGAUGAAGCAGGGAGCAAAACCCUUGUUUCCUUAGUUUCCUCUUGGGUGGCUUCCUCUGAAAAUGGUGGCUCCUGAUAGCAUAAAGGGCAUGGCCAGCACAGACCCUCAGACCUGUCACCCUCUGAUGGCCAGGAAUAGGUCAGUGGAGUAAGUCACCAGCCCUCCUGGCCUUUUACUGCAGUCACAAUGCCAGGAAACGCACAGUAACUCCCUAAAUAAUCCUUCUGUUCACUUUUGCUGUGGUUUCAAUGCUCACAUCAGGUUUUGUCUUUACAUCCUUCGCCUAACUUCUCUUCUAGCAAAAGGACAUUUGGAGUGUUACGGGUUUCAGUAAGGACAGAUCACUCCUAUCGUGAAAACCCCAACUCCAAGUAGUGACGGAGGAGAUACACUUGUUAUAAUGUCAUCUGUGGUGCUCUACUGACGAAGAACUUGAGCAAAAAUAAGAAUCAGAAAAGGAGAGUGUGGUGGAGAUGCCAGGGAUCGAACCUGGGGCCUCAUACAUGCAAAGCAUGUGCUCUACCACUGAGCUACACCCCCUGCCCCCAAGGCUUUAUUUCCUGAAAUUCUCUGCUACACUAAUCUGAAAAAUGUUUUCCCCCUACAUUUUAUAUAUUUCAAUAAGCGUUAGGGUUUAAAACAAGCAAACCAAAAUAAAUCAUUUUAUUUCUCCCAAAUAUAAAAACUUAUAGCUGAAAUUCUGACACUGGAACCAAGGAACAAAGGGAAACAGACCUUUUUUUUUGGUGGAGGU
Molecule: long non-coding RNA, 2168 nt
Organism: Rhinolophus ferrumequinum (greater horseshoe bat)
Lineage: Eukaryota; Metazoa; Chordata; Mammalia; Chiroptera; Rhinolophidae
Source: Ensembl